Molecule: long non-coding RNA, 316 nt
Organism: Salvelinus sp. IW2-2015
Lineage: Eukaryota; Metazoa; Chordata; Actinopteri; Salmoniformes; Salmonidae
Source: RefSeq, a predicted model, not a curated record
CACAAGAGUGGCCUGGACAUGACCACCCUCACCAUUAUGAGAUAUCUGCCCAGAGAGGUGGACCCCUUGGUGUACAACAUGUCCCAUGAAGACCCAGGCAGCAUCUCCUACUCAGAGAUCGGUGGCUUGGCCGAGCAGAUCCGUGAACUGAGAGAGGUGAUUGAGCUGCCCUGACCAACCCUGAGCUAUUCCUGAGGGUGGGGAUUAUCCCUCCAAAGGGCUGCCUGCUCUACGGACCUCCAGGCACCGGAAAGACUCUUCUGGCCAGAGCGGUGGCCAGUCAGAUGGACUGUAACUUCCUCAAGGUUGUGUCCGC